Molecule: ribosomal RNA, 254 nt
Filed under: uncultured bacterium
Lineage: Bacteria
Description: partial 16S ribosomal RNA
Rfam family: Bacterial small subunit ribosomal RNA
Source: RNAcentral
UACGGGGGGGGCUAGCGUUGUUCGGAAUUACUGGGCGUAAAGGGCGCGUAGGCGGCCAGCACAAGUCAGUUGUGAAAUCUCCGGGCUUAACUCGGAAAGGUCAACUGAUACUGUGCGGCUAGAGUGCAGAAGGGGCAACUGGAAUUCUCGGUGUAGCGGUGAAAUGCGUAGAUAUCGAGAGGAACCCCUGCGGCGAAGGCGGGUUGCUGGGCUGACACUGACGCUGAUGCGCGAAAGCCAGGGGAGCGAACGGG